Molecule: transfer RNA, 23 nt
Filed under: Diadema setosum
Lineage: Eukaryota; Metazoa; Echinodermata; Echinoidea; Diadematoida; Diadematidae
Description: partial tRNA-Lys
Source: RNAcentral
UAGUUAAAUUCUACUAUUAAGGG